ACUUGCUGCUGUACCACUCUGAGCAUGCCUGAUCUCAUUUGAUCUCAGACUCUACGCAGGCCUAGUUAGUACAGUACAAUCUGGGAAUACCAGGUGCAGUAAGAU
Molecule: ribosomal RNA, 105 nt
Organism: Neolamprologus brichardi
Lineage: Eukaryota; Metazoa; Chordata; Actinopteri; Cichliformes; Cichlidae
Source: Ensembl